This 3318-nucleotide long non-coding RNA is filed under the name Homo sapiens (human). Its description in RNAcentral is "novel transcript, antisense to NMUR2". Lineage: Eukaryota; Metazoa; Chordata; Mammalia; Primates; Hominidae. The record is from RNAcentral.
AUCUAAUUCAAGAACAAGGAAGAGCAAUCCUACAUUGUGCCUGUGAGGUAGGAAACCAGAAAUAGUCAGUGAACAUGUGAAUGACUGUUCACUUCCCCACUCCAGGGCCUGCGACCUUGCUGUUCUCUCAUCUUGGUAUGAUGUUCCUUCACCUCUGCACAGAGCUGGCUCCUUUUCAUCCUUUGGUUCUAGAAUUUCCCUUAGAGAACUUCUGUGACUAAUAGCAUUCUUCAAGUGGGAGAGAGCUAAUAAAGAUAGCUGUAACCGACCUGUAUGGUGACUGGAAUAAUAUUCAACAGGGUAACCAGCCUGAAGGUAUCAGGGCUUCGUCUGGGAUCCCAUUCUCCUCCGGGAUCCCCUCUCAUGAGGAGACACGUUCCGCUGCCUCACUGUGGCAGCCUUGGGGGUAAGGAAUUGAGACCCACCGAGUUUGACAAAUAAACCCGGACUCUCAGCAAUGCAGGAUGAAAAGGCCUACAGAUACCACAAUGACCAGGUAACUUUGUGCAUAAACCAAGGACUCAAGGUCUUCUAGCACAGACUCCACCCCUCGAAUUUCCAGUUCACCAGCGCCAACCUGGAGAUUACGUCCUUGUCAAAAGCUGGAAAGAGGGAAUGCUUGAGCCCUCCUGGGAAGGACCUUACCUGGUGCUCCUCACAACUGAGACUGCAGUCCAAACUGCUGAAAAGGGGUGGACGCAUCAUAUGCGAGUCAAAAAGGCAUCGCCCUCUCCAAAGCCAUGGACCAUUGUCCCAGGGCCAACUCCCACCAGAGUAAUGUUAAAAAGAAAAUAUUAAUCUGUUUCUUCCUCCUUUUCCUCUUCUCCCCAGCUGUCUCACAUCUUAUUCCAAAGCCAAAGAAAGCUAGCCUCUUCAGAAAAGUACUCCCGCACCAAAUGAGCACAGGGCAGUCAUUGGAAGUUCUGUUUUGGUUGGGGAGAUGUGGUCUGAACAAUCAAGUAUCAAGGCUGGACCUCCCCAGGAGGAGGUUGCACUAACCUAAACCCUUACAUCCACUUUACAAAAAAGACAACUCCCUCUAAUUGUCAACUCCAACAAUGUAACCCUGUGCAAAUCUCUAUUACUGUCACCACCUCUACCAACACUAACCCCACUGUAGGUUGCUUCUAUGGCAUAGGAGCUGAUGUUCCUGGAAUAGACCCUAUAGGAUCCUUUGAAAUGCACUUCAUUACUCCUCCACCCUCUUCCCUUCCUCCACCUUCUAAACCUUAUUCCAAUCAAACAGCUGUUCUUUACAUACCCAACGACGAAACUAUAGUAAACAUUGUAGAAGUUAAGGAUUUAAAAGAAACCCUAGCCAUAGAAACUGGGUAUCAAGAUGUAAAUGCCUGGCUGGAAUAGAUUAAAUAUUCUGUUCACACCCUAAAUAAGAGUUAUUGUUACGCUUGUGCCACAGGCAGGCCAGAAACCCAAAUUGUUCGCUUUCCACUUGGAUGGUUCUCCAACCAACAGAGUAUGAGUUGUAUGGUAGCUCUCUUCCAAGACCCUGCAGCUUGGGGCAGUAAGGCAUGCUGAACUCUCUCGCUGCUAUUCUUGGAAGUUUAAGGCCCUGUAGGUCAGCCCCCAAGGGCCUUCCGGCCUCUGGUUAGCAAUGUCAGUUUUACCUUGUGUCUCUCAUGACAAAGGGAAAAUUUAGCAUUCCUUGGAAGCCUAAUGGGAUGCAGUGAGUCCAAGCCUUUUCAGGAGCUAACCAAUCUGUCUGCCCUUGUUCAUCCCCUGGCGGAUGUAUGGUGGUAUUGCGGUGGACCACUGUUGGGUACUCUGCCAAGUAACUGGAGCGGCACUUGCACUGUAGUCCAAUUGGCCAUUCCUUUUACGCUGGCAUUUCAUCAACCAAACAAACAGAAAGGAAAAUUGCAAAAAAUGGAAGGUGCCCCUCAUGGGUCUUUUGAACCUGGCAUUUAUAUAGGUGCCAUCGGAGUUCCAUGAGGGGUACCAAAUGAAUUUAAAGCUCGAAAUCAAGUAGCUGCAGGAUUUGAAUCUGCAUUAUUCUGGUGGUCUACUAUAAACAAAAAUGUAAAUUGGAUAAAUUACAUUUACUAUAAUUGACAGCAAUUUGUCAAUUACAUAAGAGAUGCCAUUAAAGGAAUAGCUGAACAAUUAGGCCCUACCAGCCAAAUGGCCUGGGAAAAUAGAAGAGCCCUUGACAUGAUAUUAGCUGAAAAAGGUACAGUAUAUGUCAUAAUUAGGACCCAAUGCUGUACUUUCAUCCAUAAUAACACCACCCCCUAUGGAACCAUAACAAAGGCUCUACAAAGUCUUACUAUCUUAGCCAAUGAGUUAGGUAAGGUAUUCUGAAAAUUACAGAAUAAACAACCUCUUCACUAAUUUAAUGGGAAAAUGGCUUGGCAAAUGAAAGGGACUCACUCAUGACCUCAGUCCUCACCUCCCUUACAACUGUAAUAGCUGUACUUAUUCUUGUAGGGUGCUGCAUUAUACCCUGUGUCUGCGGAUUGGUGCAAAAACUUAUUGAAACAGCUCUCACUAAAACCUUCUCCAAUUCUCCCCCACCAUAUUUAGAUAAGCUGUUACUCUUAGAAAAUCAAGAAGAACAACAAAGCCAAAAUAUGUUAGACAAAUUUGAAAAGGAAGAAUUAUAAAAAUCAAAGGUGGGGGAAAUUGCAAGGUACAGUGAGUUCCUCUUCAAAGGUUUAGCUUGUUCAACUUCUUUGUUCUUUGUUCCUAAAAACAACUCCCUUGUACCUCCUUGCCCCUAGUUACCUGCUUAGUUAACUGCUUUGUAAACAACUCUUCCCGCCAGCCUCGACCUGUAACUUAUAUCCCCCUUCCCUUUCUUAUUUGGGAAAAUAUUCACAAACAGCCAAUCGGGUCAGCUUAGAUUGUGUGGUCUGACCCCAGCCCAUGUGGGGAGUGACACAGAGGUAGGGACUGCAUUAGGGAUAAAAACUCCUCUCUUUUCUUUGGGGUGCUCUAGGAGUAGCCAAAACUAUGAGCAGCACCCUUCUGCAGAAGUACAUUUUGCCUUGCUGAGAAGUUCUCUGUUUGAGUGCUCGUUCUCUUGGCGACUCUGACCUUUUAUUUCCAAUAUUAAUAUGGUUAGCAUUAAUGUGUGUGAUUAAAACUACACACAUUAAUGUAAAACUACUACAUUAAUGUGUGUGAUUAAAACUACUAAAACUACAUUAAUGUGUGUGAUUAAAACUACUAAAUAAGAUAAAUAAUUUCAUCUGCAAAGGGUACAAGAAAAACAAGAUAUAUUUUUGGGAAGAAAGAUUAUAAAGAAGAUAUAAAAAUGUGAUUUUUGUUAAAAGAAAAAAAUUUCCCAUUUUAGAGAUG